UUGAACGCUGGCGGCAGGCCUAACACAUGCAAGUCGAACGGUAGCACAGAGAGCUUGCUCUCGGGUGACGAGUGGCGGACGGGUGAGUAAUGUCUGGGAAACUGCCCGAUGGAGGGGGAUAACUACUGGAAACGGUAGCUAAUACCGCAUAACGUCGCAAGACCAAAGAGGGGGACCUUCGGGCCUCUUGCCAUCGGAUGUGCCCAGAUGGGAUUAGCUUGUAGGUGAGGUAACGGCUCACCUAGGCGACGAUCCCUAGCUGGUCUGAGAGGAUGACCAGCCACACUGGAACUGAGACACGGUCCAGACUCCUACGGGAGGCAGCAGUGGGGAAUAUUGCACAAUGGGCGCAAGCCUGAUGCAGCCAUGCCGCGUGUAUGAAGAAGGCCUUCGGGUUGUAAAGUACUUUCAGCGGGGAGGAAGGGAGUGAGGUUAAUAACCUUAUUCAUUGACGUUACCCGCAGAAGAAGCACCGGCUAACUCCGUGCCAGCAGCCGCGGUAAUACGGAGGGUGCAAGCGUUAAUCGGAAUUACUGGGCGUAAAGCGCACGCAGGCGGUCUGUCAAGUCGGAUGUGAAAUCCCCGGGCUCAACCUGGGAACUGCAUUCGAAACUGGCAGGCUGGAGUCUUGUAGAGGGGGGUAGAAUUCCAGGUGUAGCGGUGAAAUGCGU
This 671-nucleotide ribosomal RNA is filed under the name uncultured Klebsiella sp. RNAcentral's name for it is "bacterial SSU rRNA". It matches the Rfam family "Bacterial small subunit ribosomal RNA", at positions 29 to 691 of the family's 1533-position model. Lineage: Bacteria; Pseudomonadati; Pseudomonadota; Gammaproteobacteria; Enterobacterales; Enterobacteriaceae. The record is from RNAcentral.